GGGUUUGGGAAUGGCACCCGACCACGCACAGGCCUCCAUACCCUAUCCAGAUAGCUCGCUGCCUUCACACGGCAGGGGUCACUGGUUCGAUCCCAGUACCGCCCACCA
RNAcentral lists this transfer RNA (108 nucleotides) under Burkholderia thailandensis. RNAcentral describes it as "tRNA-Val (CAC) (tRNA-Val-CAC-2-1)". The record is from RNAcentral. Lineage: Bacteria; Pseudomonadati; Pseudomonadota; Betaproteobacteria; Burkholderiales; Burkholderiaceae.